CAUGUUUCAUGCUUUUAUGGUCGUGUAUACACCAAUCCGCCGCGAACUCUAUGGUUGCCGCCAUCUUGACUGCCGCCAUUACUGCGUGCCUGCAGAGUGUGACAGUAGCCGGUGCCCUCUAGUGGCAUUUCAAUUAAAGCGGAUCCUGCUCAUGAAAGAAAAUGACAGGUGAAAGAGAACAUUGGGUAGAUGAUGUCAGGCAGUGGCCAAAAAUUACUGAUGAAGGUAAUUUAUUGACAACAUAAUGUAUUAGACAUGUACCCUACAACAAGGAGUGGACAAUGAACAAAAUCUGCCACCUGAAGAGGGUGUACUUUCAGCAUCUGCUACCAGCAGUAGCAACAAGAAUUGCACACGGGGUCAUGACAAUUUGUGGACUGAAGUAGCUAUUACACUUUAAUGAGCUUUCCAAUUACAACUUAGCGGUAAUACACAUAUCAAGAGUUCAACAUUUGUUCACAGUUUACAACUGCACAUUUUAACUAUAUGCAUUGCAUUGUUAUGGCAACUAAAUACACAUCUGAAAUGUUUAACAUUUGUUCACUGUUUACAAAGGUACAUUGUAACCAUUUACAAUUGCUGUCUGAAAUUGUUAGUUUGUUAGAUUUUUCUGUUGAAAUACAAAAUUAAUUAAUGCAAUGAAA
This is a long non-coding RNA of Misgurnus anguillicaudatus (oriental weatherfish), 644 nucleotides long. RefSeq lists it as uncharacterized. Lineage: Eukaryota; Metazoa; Chordata; Actinopteri; Cypriniformes; Cobitidae. The record is from RefSeq and is a predicted model, not a curated record.